This 296-nucleotide unclassified non-coding RNA is filed under the name fungal sp. RNAcentral describes it as "partial contains 5.8S ribosomal RNA, internal transcribed spacer 2, and large subunit ribosomal RNA". The stretch from base 1 to 71 matches the Rfam family "5.8S ribosomal RNA", at positions 84 to 154 of the family's 154-position model. The record is from RNAcentral. Lineage: Eukaryota; Fungi.
GUGAGUCAUCGAAUCUUUGAACGCACAUUGCGCCCCUUGGUAUUCCGAGGGGCAUGCCUGUUCGAGCGUCAUUACACCACUCAAGCACUGCUUGGUAUUGGGCACCCGUCCGCCGAAAGGCGGGCGUGCCUCGAAGACCUCGGCGGGGUUUCACCAACUUCGGGCGUAGUAGAGUUAAAUCAAAACGUCUUAUAAGCUUGGUGGGGCCUCAUUGCCGUUAAACCUUUUAUUUUUCAGGUUGACCUCGGAUCAGGUAGGGAUACCCGCUGAACUUAAGCAUAUCAAUAAGCGGAGGA